Long non-coding RNA from Helianthus annuus (common sunflower), 162 nucleotides. RefSeq lists it as uncharacterized. The transcript is spliced from 3 exons. Lineage: Eukaryota; Viridiplantae; Streptophyta; Magnoliopsida; Asterales; Asteraceae. The record is from RefSeq and is a predicted model, not a curated record.
GAAAGGCUUUCAGUUAGCAAUGAUGUUUGCCAGAAAAUUCAAGCUGAGGGUGUUUUGAAGCCGUUAAUAAGAUCACUGAAAAAUUCGGAUGCUUCAGAAAGUUCAACUCAUAUGAUCCUGAAUAUUCUUGGCCGGAUAUUAGAUCCCACUAAAGAAAUGAAA